RNAcentral lists this ribosomal RNA (254 nucleotides) under uncultured bacterium. RNAcentral's name for it is "partial 16S ribosomal RNA". It matches the Rfam family "Bacterial small subunit ribosomal RNA", at positions 524 to 776 of the family's 1533-position model. The record is from RNAcentral.
UACGUAGGGGGCAAGCGUUGUCCGGAUUCAUUGGGCGUAAAGAGCGUGUAGGCGGCCAGGUAGGUCGGUUGUGAAAACUGGAGGCUCAACCUUCAGAGGUCGACCGAAAACCAUCUGGCUAGAGUCCGGGAGAGGAGAGUGGAAUUCCUGGUGUAGCGGUGAAAUGCGCAGAUAUCAGGAAGAACACCCGUGGCGAAAGCGGCUCUCUGGAACGGUACUGACGCUGAGACGCGAAAGCGUGGGGAGCGAACAGG